AACGAACGCUGGCGGCAUGCCUAACACAUGCAAGUCGAACGAGACCUUCGGGUCUAGUGGCGCACGGGUGCGUAACGCGUGGGAACCUGCCCUUAGGUUCGGAAUAACUCCCCGAAAGGGGUGCUAAUACCGGAUAAUGUCUUCGGACCCAAGAUUUAUCGCCUUUGGAUGGGCCCGCGUUGGAUUAGCUAGUUGGUAGGGUAAAAGCCUACCAAGGCGACGAUCCAUAGCUGGUCUGAGAGGAUGGUCAGCCACACUGGGACUGGGACACGGCCCAGACUCCUACGGGAGGCAGCAGUGGGGGAUAUUGGACAAUGGGCGAAGGCCUGAUCCAGCUAUGCCGCGUGAGUGAUGAAGGCCUUAGAGUUGUAAAGCUCUUUUACCCGGGAUGAUAAUGACGGUACCGGGAGAAUAAGCUCCGGCUAACUCCGUG
This 433-nucleotide ribosomal RNA is filed under the name uncultured bacterium. RNAcentral describes it as "partial 16S ribosomal RNA". It matches the Rfam family "Bacterial small subunit ribosomal RNA", at positions 29 to 507 of the family's 1533-position model. The record is from RNAcentral.